CCUACGGGAGGCAGCAGUGAGGAAUAUUGGUCAAUGGACGAGAGUCUGAACCAGCCAAGUAGCGUGAAGGAUGACUGCCCUAUGGGUUGUAAACUUCUUUUAUAUGGGAAUAAAAUGUUCCACGUGUGGGAUUUUGUAUGUACCAUAUGAAUAAGGAUCGGCUAACUCCGUGCCAGCAGCCGCGGUAAUACGGAGGAUCCGAGCGUUAUCCGGAUUUAUUGGGUUUAAAGGGAGCGUAGGUGGAUUGUUAAGUCCGUUGUGAAAGUUUGCGGCUCAACCGUAAAAUUGCAGUUGAAACUGGCAGUCUUGAGUACAGUAGAGGUGGGCGGAAUUCGUGGUGGAGCGGUGAAAUGCUUAGAUAUCACGAAGAACUCCGAUUGCGAAGGCAGUUCACUGGACUGCAACUGACACUGAGGCUCGAAAGUGUGGGUAUCAAACAGGAUUAGAUACCCUUGUAGUC
RNAcentral lists this ribosomal RNA (460 nucleotides) under uncultured bacterium. Its description in RNAcentral is "partial 16S ribosomal RNA". It matches the Rfam family "Bacterial small subunit ribosomal RNA", at positions 338 to 795 of the family's 1533-position model. The record is from RNAcentral.